CGGACGGGUGAGUAAUGUCUGGGAAACUGCCCGAUGGAGGGGGAUAACUACUGGAAACGGUAGCUAAUACCGCGUAACGUCGCAAGACCAAAGAGGGGGACCUUAGGGCCUCUUGCCAUCGGAUGUGCCCAGAUGGGAUUAGCUAGUAGGUGGGGUAAUGGCUCACCUAGGCGACGAUCCCUAGCUGGUCUGAGAGGAUGACCAGCCACACUGGAACUGAGACACGGUCCAG
This 232-nucleotide ribosomal RNA is filed under the name uncultured bacterium. RNAcentral's name for it is "partial 16S ribosomal RNA". It matches the Rfam family "Bacterial small subunit ribosomal RNA", at positions 99 to 334 of the family's 1533-position model. The record is from RNAcentral.